CUCAGGACCUGGUCUAAUCCACUCUCCCCCAGACCCCAGAGUGGGUCAGGCAACACUCACUCCUGUCCUCCUCUCCACACGCAGUGCACACCAGGCACAAGCGGAGCAGAAGCCCCACUGGCUGUCCUGACAGGCGGGGCCUCCACAGCAAAGACAAGAAGAGGCAGGGACCACCCUCCCCAGCCCAGGCGAGAGCUAAGGACUGGUUUUUCUCCUCCAGAGCAGGACUUGACCGCAGAGGAGCCUCCAGACGUGCGGCUUGCCAGGGAGACCUGGCUGAAAUGGAAGGGGCUGCAAGUGUCCAGAGUCCUAGCCACGACGGACAGGCUGUCUGCCACAGGCAAGAUGGAAUAAUCUCCCCCAAGGAAGACCAGCCUCUGAAAGAGAAGGGGGGCGAUCGCCAUUCCUCCGAAAGACACAGAGAAAAAGGAAGCCUGGAGACCCGAGAGGGCUCUCGGAGCAAAGCAGUGCACACCAGGCACAAGCGGAGCAGAAGCCCCACUGGCUGUCCUGACAGGCGGGGCCUCCACAGCAAAGACAAGAAGAGGCAGGGACCACCCUCCCCAGCCCAGGCGAGAGCUAAGGACUGGUUUUUCUCCUCCAGAGCAGGACUUGACCGCAGAGGAGGUAGGUUUCUGGGCAGGCGCUUGGCACAGGUGGGGAUGUGGGUGCAGGGCCUGAGGGUCGCAACAAGCCCCCAGCAGGCAGGUAGGUGGGGAGACACGCUGCCCCUGGUGCGGGGCCCCUGGUGAGGGGCCCCUAAAGCCCUAACAGGCUGGGAGGAAGGCAUCCAGGUGUGGGCCCCGGUUCCCAGCAGAUCCUGGAAGGGGCCCCAGGGUCCGGUGCGGUGGAGAGUGGGUCGUGGGGGAAGGAGGGUUGGGAGUCUCCAUGGGGAAGAGGUUGUUGGUCGACCCUGACAAGGAAUCCCAGGGCGGGCGAGGGUGCAGCGCAUAUCACCUGAACUCCUCCCGCUCUGCCUCCCGCGCAGGUUCUGCCCACACGCCUCGGCGCCCGGCCCGGCCCGCCUCUCCCAAGCCUCGUCGCGGAUCCUCGUGUCCCGAAGCCCGCGUGCCCGCGGCGGCGCUCGCGUCCGAGCUCUGCAACCAGAUGGGCGCCCUGCAGGUGGCCCUGGGCGAGCUGCGGGCCCCGGGGGGCGCCUACCUGCCGGUGCCCUCCCGCUGCACGGAGCC
RNAcentral lists this long non-coding RNA (1190 nucleotides) under Sus scrofa (pig). RNAcentral's name for it is "lncRNA (ENSSSCG00070009510.1)". Lineage: Eukaryota; Metazoa; Chordata; Mammalia; Artiodactyla; Suidae. The record is from RNAcentral.